Long non-coding RNA from Thalassophryne amazonica, 570 nucleotides. RefSeq lists it as uncharacterized. The transcript has 3 exons. NCBI's taxonomy places the organism in Eukaryota, Metazoa, Chordata, Actinopteri, Batrachoidiformes, Batrachoididae. The record is from RefSeq and is a predicted model, not a curated record.
UAACAGUUCAUUCACAGGAGGCUGAGGUGGAGCGAGAGAAAGCCAGGCUGUUGCAAAGUGCCAUCUCUGCUUGUAUUCUCACGCUAACUGCUUUGGCGGAUUAUUGGAUAAGAGCAGAGGAAAUCUCGGACUUUUCUCCAGUGCUAAUCACUGACCAUCAACUCUGUGCAGCAUCCAUGACUUUACAUACUUGGCUGGUCUAUAAGGUUGGAUUUAUCUUGGUUUGGACAUUCUGCUUGACACAGGUUCAGGGGCUGCAGUGCUAUGGCUGCAACAUCAUCCAAGGCCAAAGGUAUGUGGACGUGGGCUGCUCCAACCCAGAAGUCAUCACAUGCACCCACUCACACAAGGGUUUCAAACACCGUUUCUGCAUCAAGACAGAGAGCACAGCCUUGGGUAUCAUCCUGACCAGUGGUUGUGCCACAUCCAGGCACUGCCAGCAACAAGAACUGCCAGGGGUGCGCAUCCACUGCUGCGAUUCAGAUCUGUGCAACAGUGCCGCCACCUGGCAUCCGAGCUCUCUGCAUUACAUCUGUGCACUGGGAGGCCUUUUGCUGCUGAUCCUGUGGC